UGGGGAAUUUUGGACAAUGGGCGAAAGCCUGAUCCAGCAAUGCCGCGUGUGUGAAGAAGGCCUUCGGGUUGUAAAGCACUUUUGUCCGGAAAGAAAUCCUUGGCUCUAAUACAGUCGGGGGAUGACGGUACCGGAAGAAUAAGCACCGGCUAACUACGUGCCAGCGGCCGCGGUAAUACGUAGGGUGCAAGCGUUAAUCGGAAUUACUGGGCGUAAAGCGUGCGCAGGCGGUUUGCUAAGACCGAUGUGAAAUCCCCGGGCUCAACCUGGGAACUGCAUUGGUGACUGGCAGGCUAGAGUAUGGCAGAGGGGGGUAGAAUUCCACGUGUAGCAGUGAAAUGCGUAGAGAUGUGGAGGAAUACCGAUGGCGAAGGCAGCCCCCUGGGCCAAUACUGACGCUCAUGCACGAAAGCGUGGGGAGCAAAACAGGAUUAGAUACCCCUGGUAGUCCACGCCCCUAAACGAUGUCAACUAGUUGUUGGGGAUUCAUUCCUUAGUAACGUAGCUAACGCGUGAAGUUGACCGCCUGGGGAGUACGGUCGCAAGAUUAAAACUCAAAUGAAUUGACGGGGUCAUAGCUG
Molecule: ribosomal RNA, 581 nt
Filed under: uncultured bacterium
Lineage: Bacteria
Description: partial 16S ribosomal RNA
Rfam family: Bacterial small subunit ribosomal RNA
Source: RNAcentral